UAUUUCCUAGGGUGCACGAAUACUCAACAUUUUGAACCUACAAAGUAUAUAAGGGAGUUUGUUGAUUUAAAGCAGAUGUCAGGCCUCAAGCUAAUUCCUAUAGCAAUAUAGGCAGUGGAAGGCAGAAACUUUAGUACAGACACCCACCUAGCAUAGGCUAGGGUCAAAAUCAAGAGAACGACAUUUUGGGAUAUAU
Molecule: non-coding RNA, 196 nt
Organism: Clostridiales bacterium GWD2_32_59
Lineage: Bacteria; Bacillati; Bacillota; Clostridia; Eubacteriales
Source: Rfam